RNAcentral lists this ribosomal RNA (224 nucleotides) under uncultured bacterium. Its description in RNAcentral is "partial 16S ribosomal RNA". It matches the Rfam family "Bacterial small subunit ribosomal RNA", at positions 254 to 496 of the family's 1533-position model. The record is from RNAcentral.
GGGGUAAACAGGACACUACCAAGCCUACGAUCUAUAGCUGGUUUGAGAGGAUGAUCAGCAACACUGGGACUGAGACACGGCCCAGACUCCUACGGGAGGCAGCAGUGGGGAAUCUUAAGACAAUAGGGAAACCCUGAUCUAGCCAUGCCGCGUGAGUGAUGAAGGCCUUAGGGUCGUAAAGCUCUUUCGCCUGUGAAUGACAGUAGCAGGCAAAGAACCCCAAA